AGGUACAUGUUGGAACUUGAAGCAAUUCCAGCAGUUAUACAGUUUUUUGGCUGUCUCUUUUUGCCUGAAAAUCCUCAAUGGCUUAUUCAGAAAAGACAGACUCAGAAGGCCUAAAGAAUUUUAUCUCAGAUGGAUGGUAACCAGACCAGUGAUGAGGAAUAUGACAGCAUCAUAAACAACAUUGAAGAAGAGGAAAAAAGAGUUUGGCUCAGCUGAAUCUGUGAUUUUCAGAAUGCUGAGUUACCCCCCAAUUUGCAGAGCUUUAAUUGUAGAUUAUGACCUACAAAUUUCCCAACAGUUCUCAAACAUUAAUACCAUCAUG
RNAcentral lists this long non-coding RNA (322 nucleotides) under Homo sapiens (human). Its description in RNAcentral is "non-protein coding lnc-RAB2A-5:1". Lineage: Eukaryota; Metazoa; Chordata; Mammalia; Primates; Hominidae. The record is from RNAcentral.